GAUGAACGCUGGCGGCGUGCCUAAUACAUGCAAGUCGAGCGAACAGACGAGGAGCUUGCUCCUCUGACGUUAGCGGCGGACGGGUGAGUAACACGUGGAUAACCUACCUAUAAGACUGGGAUAACUUCGGGAAACCGGAGCUCAUACCGGAUAAUAUAUUGAACCGCAUGGUUCAAUAGUGAAAGACGGUUUUGCUGUCACUUAUAGAUGGAUCCGCGCCGCAUUAGCUAGUUGGUAAGGUAACGGCUUACCAAGGCAACGAUGCGUAGCCGACCUGAGAGGGUGAUCGACCAGACUGGAACUCACACACGGUCCAGACUCCUACCGGAGGCAGCAGUAGGGAAUCUUCCGCAAUGGGCGAAAGCCUGACGGAGCAACGCCGCGUGAGUGAUGAACGUCUUCGGAUCGUAUAACUCUUUUAUUAGGGAAGAACAAAUGUGUAAGUAACUAUGUACUUCUUGACGUUACCUAAUCAGAAAUCCACGUCUAACUACGUG
This 497-nucleotide ribosomal RNA is filed under the name uncultured bacterium. Its description in RNAcentral is "partial 16S ribosomal RNA". It matches the Rfam family "Bacterial small subunit ribosomal RNA", at positions 28 to 507 of the family's 1533-position model. The record is from RNAcentral.